ACUCGAGUGGCGAACGGGUGAGUAACACGUGGGUGAUCUGCCCUGCACUUCGGGAUAAGCUUGGGAAACUGGGUCUAAUACCGGAUAGGAGCCAUCUUUAGUGUGGUGGUUGGAAAGUUUUUCGGUGUAGGAUGAGCUCGCGGCCUAUCAGCUUGUUGGUGGGGUAAUGGCCUACCAAGGCGGCGACGGGUAGCCGGCCUGGGAGGGUGUACGGCCACAUUGGGACUGAGAUACGGCCCAG
This 241-nucleotide ribosomal RNA is filed under the name uncultured Actinomycetales bacterium. RNAcentral's name for it is "partial 16S ribosomal RNA". It matches the Rfam family "Bacterial small subunit ribosomal RNA", at positions 89 to 334 of the family's 1533-position model. Lineage: Bacteria; Bacillati; Actinomycetota; Actinomycetes; Actinomycetales. The record is from RNAcentral.